RNAcentral lists this transfer RNA (147 nucleotides) under Candidatus Iainarchaeum sp. Its description in RNAcentral is "tRNA-Ile". The record is from RNAcentral. Lineage: Archaea; Nanobdellati; Candidatus Iainarchaeota; Candidatus Iainarchaeia; Candidatus Iainarchaeales; Candidatus Iainarchaeaceae.
GGGCCCGUAGCUCAGCCUGGCAGAGCAUUGGUCUUAUACACCAANNGACCGGCCACAUCCACAUGGGAACGGCCUUGAACAAGGUGUUGAAGGACGUGGCUUUGCGCUCCAAGCGCAUGGAGGGCUUCGAUGUCUUCGACCGGCCCG